Molecule: ribosomal RNA, 429 nt
Filed under: Chloroflexota bacterium
Lineage: Bacteria; Bacillati; Chloroflexota
Description: Chloroflexi bacterium partial 16S ribosomal RNA
Rfam family: Bacterial small subunit ribosomal RNA
Source: RNAcentral
UGGGGAAUAUUGCACAAUGGGCGCAAGCCUGAUGCAGCCAUGCCGCGUGUAUGAAGAAGGCCUUCGGGUUGUAAAGUACUUUCAGUCGGGAGGAAGGUGUCAAGGUUAAUAACCUUGGCAAUUGACGUUACCGACAGAAGAAGCACCGGCUAACUCCGUGCCAGCAGCCGCGGUAAUACGGAGGGUGCAAGCGUUAAUCGGAAUUACUUGGCGUAAAGCGCACGCAGGCGGUUGAUUGAGUCAGAUGUGAAAUCCCCGGGCUUAACCCGGGAAUUGCAUCUGAUACUGGUCAGCUAGAGUCUUGUAGAGGGGGGUAGAAUUCCAUGUGUAGCGGUGAAAUGCGUAGAGAUGUGGAGGAAUACCGGUGGCGAAGGCGGCCCCCUGGACAAAGACUGACGCUCAGGUGCGAAAGCGUGGGGAGCAAACAGG